Molecule: ribosomal RNA, 449 nt
Filed under: uncultured bacterium
Lineage: Bacteria
Description: partial 16S ribosomal RNA
Rfam family: Bacterial small subunit ribosomal RNA
Source: RNAcentral
AACGAACGCUGGCGGCAUGCCUAACACAUGCAAGUCGAACGAGAUCUUCGGGUCUAGUGGCGCACGGGUGCGCAACGCGUGGGAAUCUGCCCUUUGGUUCGGAAUAACAGUUGGAAACGACUGCUAAUACCGGAUGAUGACGAAAGUCCAAAGAUUUAUCGCCAGAGGAUGAGCCCGCGUAGGAUUAGCUAGUUGGUGUGGUAAGGGCGCACCAAGGCGACAAUCCUUAGCUGGUCUGAGAGGAUGAUCAGCCACACUGGGACUGAGACACGGCCCAGACUCCUACGGGAGGCAGCAGUGGGGAAUAUUGGACAAUGGGCGAAAGCCUGAUCCAGCAAUGCCGCGUGAGUGAUGAAGGCCUUAGGGUUGUAAAGCUCUUUUACCCGGGAUGAUAAUGACAGUACCGGGAGAAUAAGCUCCGGCUAACUCCGUGCCAGCCGCCGCAGUAA